RNAcentral lists this ribosomal RNA (429 nucleotides) under Verrucomicrobiota bacterium. RNAcentral's name for it is "Verrucomicrobia bacterium partial 16S ribosomal RNA". It matches the Rfam family "Bacterial small subunit ribosomal RNA", at positions 355 to 776 of the family's 1533-position model. Lineage: Bacteria; Pseudomonadati; Verrucomicrobiota. The record is from RNAcentral.
UAGGGAAUCUUCCGCAAUGGACGAAAGUCUGACGGAGCAACGCCGCGUGAGUGAAGAAGGAUUUCGGUUCGUAAAACUCUGUUGUUAGGGAAGAAAAAAUGUAUAGUAACUAUAUACAAAAGAGACGGUACCUACCCAGAAAGCCACGGCUAACUACGUGCCAGCAGCCGCGGUAAUACGUAGGUGGCAAGCGUUGUCCGGAAUUAUUGGGCGUAAAGCGCGCGCAGGUGGUUUAGAAAGUCUGAUGUGAAAGCCCACGGCUCAACCGUGGAGGGUCAUUGGAAACUAAUAAACUUGAGUGCAGGAGAGAAAAGUGGAAUUCCUAGUGUAGCGGUGAAAUGCGUAGAGAUUAGGAGGAACACCGGUGGCGAAAGCGGCUUUUUGGCCUGCAACUGACACUGAGGCGCGAAAGCGUGGGGAGCAAACAGG